AGUGAACGCUGGCGGCAGGCCUAACACAUGCAAGUCGAACGGCAGCACAAGAGAGCUUGCUCUCUGGGUGGCGAGUGGCGGACGGGUGAGGAAUGCAUCGGAAUCUGCCCAUUUGUGGGGGAUAACCUCGGGAAACCGGGACUAAUACCGCAUACGACCUACGGGUGAAAGCAGGGGAUCUUCGGACCUUGCGCAGAUGGAUGAGCCGAUGCCGGAUUAGCUAGUUGGAGGGGUAAAGGCCCACCAAGGCGACGAUCCGUAGCUGGUCUGAGAGGAUGAUCAGCCACACUGGGACUGAGACACGGCCCAGACUCCUACGGGAGGCAGCAGUGGGGAAUAGUGGACAAUGGGCGCAAGCCUGAUCCAGCCAUGCCGCGUGUGUGAAGAAGGCCUUCGGGUUGUAAAGCACUUUUGUUGGGAAAGAAAAGCAGCCGGUUAAUACCCGGUUGUCAUGACGGUACCCAAAGAAUAAGCACCGGCUAACUUCG
Molecule: ribosomal RNA, 488 nt
Filed under: uncultured bacterium
Lineage: Bacteria
Description: partial 16S ribosomal RNA
Rfam family: Bacterial small subunit ribosomal RNA
Source: RNAcentral